Molecule: long non-coding RNA, 226 nt
Filed under: Homo sapiens (human)
Lineage: Eukaryota; Metazoa; Chordata; Mammalia; Primates; Hominidae
Description: long non-coding RNA NONHSAT212391
Source: RNAcentral
GAAAGUUGCAGAAGAUUUGCUUUGACCUCAAAGUACAUUCUUUGUUUCCCUGGUGAUAAAGACCUCAGUCAUAGGACAACUGGGUAAACUGAAGUAGCCAAUUCUGCAAAGGAAGGUGGACUUUGCUUUCCAGUUCAGGAUCUUUUAUUACUGGUACUAUUAAGGCAAUCUUGGCAAAGUCUCAUUCAUAUUUAUUUAUGAACUGUGUUCUUGGCUAGAUAAGAGG